ACGACUGCUGGUGCGGCGUAGUUAUAAGCUGCCGCUUCUGGUGCGGCGUAGUUAUAAGCUGCCGCUUCUGGUGCGGCGUAGUUAUA
RNAcentral lists this transfer RNA (86 nucleotides) under Microseira wollei NIES-4236. Its description in RNAcentral is "tRNA-Gln". The record is from RNAcentral. Lineage: Bacteria; Bacillati; Cyanobacteriota; Cyanophyceae; Aerosakkonematales; Aerosakkonemataceae.